This 497-nucleotide ribosomal RNA is filed under the name uncultured bacterium. RNAcentral's name for it is "partial 16S ribosomal RNA". It matches the Rfam family "Bacterial small subunit ribosomal RNA", at positions 28 to 507 of the family's 1533-position model. The record is from RNAcentral.
GAUGAACGCUGGCGGCGUGCCUAAUACAUGCAAGUCGAGCGAACAGAUGAGGAGCUUGCUCCUCUGACGUUAGCGGCGGACGGGUGAGUAACACGUGGAUAACCUACCUAUAAGACUGGGAUAACUUCGGGAAACCGGAGCUAAUACCGGAUAAUAUAUUGAACCGCAUGGUUCAAUAGUGAAAGACGGUUUUGCUGUCACUUAUAGAUGGAUCCGCGCCGCAUUAGUUAGUUGGUAAGGUAACGGCUUACCAAGGCAACGAUGCUUAGCCGACCUGAGAGGGUGAUCGGCCACCCUGGAACUGAGACACGGCCCAGACUCCUACGGGAGGCCGCAGUAGGGAAUCUUCCGCAAUGGGCGAAAGCCUGACGGAGCAACGCCGCGUGAGUGAUGAAGGUCUUCGGAUCGUAAAACUCUGUUAUUAGGAAAGAACAAAUGUGUAAGUAACUAUGCACGUCUUGACGGUACCUAAUCAAAAAGCCACGGCUAACUACGUG